Molecule: ribosomal RNA, 450 nt
Filed under: uncultured prokaryote
Description: bacterial SSU rRNA
Rfam family: Bacterial small subunit ribosomal RNA
Source: RNAcentral
UCGGGAAUUUUGGGCAAUGGGCGCAAGCCUGACCCAGCAACGCCGUGUGAGCGAUGAAGGCCCUCGGGUCGUAAAGCUCUGUCGGGAGGGAAGAAAGGUCGCCGUUCGAAUAGGGCGGGGGCUUGACGGUACCUCCAAAGGAAGGACCGGCUAACUCCGUGCCAGCAGCCGCGGUAAUACGGAGGGUCCAAGCGUUGUUCGGAAUUACUGGGCGUAAAGCGAGUGUAGGCGGCUUGGCAAGUCGGGUGUGAAAUCCCAGGGCCCAACCCUGGAACUGCACCCGAAACUGCUUGGCUGGAGUCCCGGAGAGGAUGGCGGAAUUUCCGGUGUAGAGGUGAAAUUCGUAGAUACCGGAAGGAACACCAGUGGCGAAGGCGGCCAUCUGGACGGUGACUGACGCUGAGACUCGAAAGCGUGGGGAGCAAACAGGAUUAGAUACCCCCGUAGUCC